CUCUGUGACUCCUACGGGAGGCAGCAGUGGGGAAUAUUGCACAAUGGGCGCAAGCCUGAUGCAGCCAUGCCGCGUGUAUGAAGAAGGCCUUCGGGUUGUAAAGUACUUUCAGCAGUGAGGAAGGCGGAGUCGUUAAUAGCGGCCUCGUUUGACGUUAGCUGCAGAAGAAGCACCGGCUAACUCCGUGCCAGCAGCCGCGGUAAUACGGAGGGUGCGAGCGUUAAUCGGAAUUACUGGGCGUAAAGCGCAUGCAGGUGGUUCAUUAAGUCAGAUGUGAAAGCCCGGGGCUCAACCUCGGAAUUGCAUUUGAAACUGGCAGACUAGAGUACUGUAGAGGGGGUAGAAUUUCAGGUGUAGCGGUGAAAUGCGUAGAGAUCUGAAGGAAUACCGGUGGCGAAGGCGGCCCCCUGGACAGAUACUGACACUCAGAUGCGAAAGCGUGGGGAGCAAACAGGAUUAGAUACCCUGGUAG
Molecule: ribosomal RNA, 472 nt
Filed under: uncultured bacterium
Lineage: Bacteria
Description: bacterial SSU rRNA
Rfam family: Bacterial small subunit ribosomal RNA
Source: RNAcentral